ACUCCUACGGGAGGCAGCAGUGGGGAAUAUUGGACAAUGGGGGGAACCCUGAUCCAGCCAUGCCGCGUGUGUGAAGAAGGCCUUAUGGUUGUAAAGCACUUUAAGCGAGGAGGAGGCUACUGAGACUAAUACUCUUGGAUAGUGGACGUUACUCGCAGAAUAAGCACCGGCUAACUCUGUGCCAGCAGCCGCGGUAAUACAGAGGGUGCGAGCGUUAAUCGGAUUUACUGGGCGUAAAGCGUGCGUAGGCGGCUUUUAAGUCGGAUGUGAAAUCCCCGAGCUUAACUUGGGAAUUGCAUUCGAUACUGGGGAAGCUAGAGUAUGGGAGAGGAUGGUAGAAUUCCAGGUGUAGCGGUGAAAUGCGUAGAGAUCUGGAGGAAUACCGAUGGCGAAGGCAGCCAUCUGGCCUAAUACUGACGCUGAGGUACGAAAGCAUGGGAGCAAACAGGAUUAGAUACCCCUGGUAGCGACUGA
RNAcentral lists this ribosomal RNA (474 nucleotides) under uncultured bacterium. RNAcentral's name for it is "bacterial SSU rRNA". It matches the Rfam family "Bacterial small subunit ribosomal RNA", at positions 335 to 803 of the family's 1533-position model. The record is from RNAcentral.